GGGACUUGUAUGAAUGGCCCACGAGGGCUUUACUGUCUCUUACUUCCAAUCCGUGAAAUUGACCUUCCCGUGAAGAGGCGGGAAUACAACAAUAAGACGAGAAGACCCUAUGGAGCUUUAAUUAAUCGACUCAAAGAGACCUCACUAACUAACCGACAGGAACAACAAACCUCUACAUGAGCCGACAAUUUAGGUUGGGGUGACCUCGGAGAACAAAAUAACCUCCGAGUGAUUUAAAUCUAGACUAACCAGUCAAAAGUAUUACAUCACUUAUUGAUCCAAAAACUUGAUCAACGGAACAAGUUACCCUAGGGAUAACAGCGCAAUCCUAUUUCAGAGUCCAUAUCGACAAUAGGGUUUACGAC
Molecule: ribosomal RNA, 365 nt
Filed under: Prionailurus planiceps (flat-headed cat)
Lineage: Eukaryota; Metazoa; Chordata; Mammalia; Carnivora; Felidae
Description: partial 16S ribosomal RNA
Rfam family: Bacterial large subunit ribosomal RNA
Source: RNAcentral